Molecule: ribosomal RNA, 497 nt
Filed under: uncultured bacterium
Lineage: Bacteria
Description: partial 16S ribosomal RNA
Rfam family: Bacterial small subunit ribosomal RNA
Source: RNAcentral
GAUGGACGCUGGCGGCGUGCCUAAUACAUGCAAGUCGAGCGAACGGACGAGAAGCUUGCUUCUCUGAUGUUAGCGGCGGACGGGUGAGUAACACGUGGAUAACCUACCUAUAAGACUGGGAUAACUUCGGGAAACCGGAGCUAAUACCGGAUAAUAUUUUGAACCGCAUGGUUCAAAAGUGAAAGACGGUCUUGCUGUCACUUAUAGAUGGAUCCCCGCUGCAUUAGCUAGUUGGUAAGGUAACGGCUUACCAAGGCAACGAUGCAUAGCCGACCUGAGAGGGUGAUCGGCCACACUGGAACUGAGACACGGUCCAGACUCCUACGGGAGGCAGCAGUAGGGAAUCUUCCGCAAUGGGCGAAAGCCUGACGGAGCAACGCCGCGUGAGUGAUGAAGGUCUUCGGAUCGUAAAACUCUGUUAUUCGGGAAGAACAUAUGUGUAAGUAACUGUGCACAUCUUGACGGUAACUAAUCAGAAAGCCACGGCUAACUACGUG